Molecule: ribosomal RNA, 174 nt
Filed under: Priestia flexa
Lineage: Bacteria; Bacillati; Bacillota; Bacilli; Caryophanales; Bacillaceae
Description: Bacillus flexus partial 16S ribosomal RNA
Rfam family: Bacterial small subunit ribosomal RNA
Source: RNAcentral
CUACAAUGGAUGGUACAAAGGGCCGCAAGACCGUGAGGUCAAGCCAAUCCCAUAAAACCAUUCUCAGUUCGGAUUGUAGGCUGCAACUCGCCUACAUGAAGCUGGAAUCGCUAGUAAUCGCGGAUCAGCAUGCCGCGGUGAAUACGUUCCCGGGCCUUGUACACACCGCCCGUC